Non-coding RNA from Mariannaea sp. PMI_226, 72 nucleotides. The record is from the annotation of a GenBank genome assembly. Lineage: Eukaryota; Fungi; Ascomycota; Sordariomycetes; Hypocreales; Nectriaceae.
AGCAAUUUGGCGCAGUGGAAGCGCGCCGGGCUCAUAACCCGGAGGUCACAUGAUCGAAACAUGUAAUUGCUA